RNAcentral lists this long non-coding RNA (304 nucleotides) under Carica papaya (papaya). RNAcentral's name for it is "long non-coding RNA (CPAP_LNC006826)". Lineage: Eukaryota; Viridiplantae; Streptophyta; Magnoliopsida; Brassicales; Caricaceae. The record is from RNAcentral.
AGAAAUGUAAACCCUAACUCUAUUAAUCACUUAUGCAUUUAAUUUAUGAAUUUGUUUUCUUUUAAGUUCCGGGCCUUUACAGUUGGUAUCAGAGCCGCCUUCCUUGGAACCAUUCAUUGCAUAAAGACUUACAAACACCAAAUACAAACUAUUACUCAACUUUUUCUUGUGAAAUAUAGGUACAAGAAAAUGAGGAGCAGAAGACCCCCACUAAAUUAAACAACCCAGGAUGCCUCAAUUCGAGAGGAUGUUGACCGACUCUUUGAGAUGCUGGAGAGACUCAUCUCUGCCCAGUAGGUCUGGG